AACGAACGCUGGCGGCAUGCCUAACACAUGCAAGUCGAACGAGACCUUCGGGUCUAGUGGCGCACGGGUGCGUAACGCGUGGGAACCUGCCCUUAGGUUCGGAAUAACUCCCCGAAAGGGGUGCUAAUACCGGAUAAUGUCUUCGGACCACAGAUUUAUCGCCUUUGGAUGGGCCCGCGUUGGAUUAGCUAGUUGGUAGGGUAAAAGCCUACCAAGGCGACGAUCCAUAGCUGGUCUGAGAGGAAGAUCAGCCACACUGGGACUGAGACACGGCCCAGACUCCUACGGGAGGCAGCAGUGGGGAAUAUUGGACAAUGGGCGAAAGCCUGAUCCAGCAAUGCCGCGUGAGUGAUGAAGGCCUUAGAGUUGUAAAGCUCUUUUACCCGGGAUGAUAAUGACAGUACCGGGAGAAUAAGCACCGGCUAACUCCGUG
Molecule: ribosomal RNA, 433 nt
Filed under: uncultured bacterium
Lineage: Bacteria
Description: partial 16S ribosomal RNA
Rfam family: Bacterial small subunit ribosomal RNA
Source: RNAcentral